This is a non-coding RNA of Biomphalaria glabrata, 73 nucleotides long. The record is from Rfam. Lineage: Eukaryota; Metazoa; Mollusca; Gastropoda; Planorbidae.
AAGCAGUGAUGUUAUAAAUAUUUGCUAUCUGAAACAGUGAUGGAAAAAAUCUACCACCUAGAUCUCUGAGCUU